GUCUUGAUUGUUGAAUAUUGGCAAUAUCCCACAUUAGGAAAAGAUAGAAAUGGAGGGGGUUUGGUUUGUUAUAUAUAGAACCCCUCCCCCUUUGGUUCUAUCAUCCCAAAAUCUUCUCCUUUGUAAUAUUUCUAGAGGAAAUAUUAAUUUGGUAGUGUCCGAGGACGUAAGCUAAAUUGGCCGAACCUCGUUAAAACUCUGGUAUUUUAUUUCUUAUUUGUUUGCUUUUAUUUAAUAGCUUUAUGUUGGUUAUAUUUAUUUAGUUAUUAUUGCUAUAAAUAUCUAAGUGAGUUCUGUCUAGUUGUUGGGUUUUAAGCGGGACCAUUGUGACCCCUCCAAUUUAACUGGAAAUUUUCUUAGUAUAAUUGUUGGCAUAAUAAUUAUCUAAAUAUUUCUGAUAAUAUUGUUAUUAAUAUUAUCGUCGCUUCCGCAACAAUUGGUAUCAGAGCCAAGGUUUUGUAGUAUGCUCUGUGUUUGCAGCUUAGUCUGAUCUUACACAUCAGAAACAUUUCCGAAAGCUUGUGGGUAUUCCGCAUUUGGUGGCUAUUAAAUAGAAGCUAUGGCAAAAAUGACAGAAGAAAAAUCAUCCAUAUCAACAACUUCCACUUCGUACAUUUUGUCGAGGGUUGGAACUGUAAAUACGAGAUUUGCAGUAGAAAUUUUUGAUGGAACAGGUCAUUUCGGCAUGUGGCAAAGCGAGCUUUUAGAUGCCCUCUUUCAACAAGGUCUAGAUAUUGCCAUUGAGGAAGAAAAACCAGAAGGGGUUGAUGAUAAAGAAUGGAAGACCAUCAACCGAUUGGCAUGUGGUACAAUUCGAUCAUGUCUUUCCAGAGAGCAAAAGUAUACAUUCAGUAAAGAGACUUCUGCAAGUAAAUUGUGGAAAGCAUUGGAGGAGAAAUUCUUGAAGAAGAACAGUCAAAAUAAGUUGCAUAUGAAGAAAAGACUGUUUCGUUUCAAUUAUGUUCCUGGUACCACGAUGAACGAGCACAUUACCAAUUUUAAUCAGCUGGUGGCUGAUUUGUUGAAUUUGGAUGUGACUUUUGAAGACGAAGACUUGGCGUUAAUGUUGUUGGGAUCGCUUCCUGAGGAGUUUGAGUACCUUGAAACUACUCUACUUCAUGGAAAAUCGAAAGUAACUUUCAAUGAAGUAACUGCUGCAUUGUAUAGCUAUGAACUACGCCGAAAGGAUAAGUUGAAAGGUUCAGGUGAAGCAGCAGUGGAAGCAUUGGUAACAAGAGGUCGUCAGCAAAGUCAGUCUAAGGGGAAGAGAAGAAAGUCCAAAGGUCGAGCUGUUGCCAAAGAUGAAUGUUUUUUUUGCAAAGAAAAAGGACAUUGGAAGAAAGAUUGUCCAAAAUUGAAGAAAAAAGGGAAGACUCCGCAAGAUGCAAAUGUUGCAGAAUGCAAUAGUGAAGCAGAGUUAGACUUUUCUCUUAGUAUGACAUCUUCAACAUUAUAUGCAGAUGAGUGGAUCAUGGAUUCUGGUUGUUCCUAUCAUAUGUGUCCCAUUCGGGAAUGGUUCUUUGAAUUUCAAAAACUAGAUGAAGGGGUUGUUUACAUGGGUAAUGAUAACACAUGUAAAAUAGCCGGGAUAGGUUCAAUUAAACUGAGGAGUCAUGAUGGAUCUACUAGAAUUUUGCGGGAUGUACGAUAUGUCCCAAAGUUGAAGAAGAAUCUCAUCUCUUUGGGGUCGUUAGAAUCUAAAGGCCUAGUUGUGACAAUACGAGAUGGAGUUCUUAAAGCAACUUCAGGAGCAUUGGUGAUGUUGAAAGGCAUAAGAAAGAACAAUCUGUAUUACUACCAAGGUAGUACAGUGGUCGGGACAACAGCAGCAGCAAUUACGAGUACCAAGAAGGACGCUGAGGCAACACAGCUGUGGCAUAUGCGUUUGGGCCAUGCUGGUGAAAAAUCCUUGCAAACUCUAGCCAAGCAAGGAUUAUUGAAAGGUACAAAGACUUGCAAACUUGAAUUUUGCGAGCAUUGUGUUCUGGGAAAACAACGAAGGGUGAAAUUUGGCACUGGGAUUCACAAUACUAAAGGUAUUCUGGAUUAUGUGCAUUCUGAUGUAUGCGGACCGUCCAAGACUCCAUCACUUGGAGGAAGACGUUAUUUUGUCACCUUUAUUGAUGAUUUUUCCAGACGAGUUUGGGUGUUUCCUAUGAAGAACAAAGAUGAGGUGCUUGAAGUUUUCCUUAAGUGGAAAACUAAAGUUGAAAAUCAGACAGGAAGGAAGAUUAAGGUUCUCCGAUCAGACAACGGUGGAGAAUAUAAAAGCGAUCCUUUCCUGAAGAUAUGCCAAGAUUGUGGCAUAGUAAGGCACUUCACCGUAGGUGGAACACCGCAACAGAAUGGGGUGGCAGAGCGUAUGAAUCGAACGCUUGUGGAGAAAGUUCGAUGUAUGUUAUCUAAUGCUGGAUUAGAUAGAAAGUUUUAGACUGAGGCUGUGACGUACGCUCAACAUCUCAUCAAUCAUUUGCCAUCAUCUGCUAUAAAUGGCAAGACUCCUUUGGAGAAAUGGUAUGGAAAACCUGCUACUGAUUAUGACACCUUGCGCAUUUUUGGUUCUAUUGCAUAUUAUCAUGUGAAAGAAUCAAAGUUAGAUCCAAGAGCAAAGAAGGCUCUAUUCAUGGGCUUCAAUGCUGGUGUUAAGGGAUAUCGUUUGUGGUGUCUAGAGGCAAAGAAGACGAUAAUCAGUAGGGAUGUUACCUUUCAUGAAUCUGCCAUGUUGAAUAAGGUAAAUCCAGAAGGAGUGAGUAGUACUUCGCAGCAGGUGGAGUGUACUCCGCAGCAGGUGGAGUUUGAGCAGAGUGUGGUAAUUCCAGCAGAAGGUACCACUAGUGAUUCUUCAUUGGCAGAUGCAGAGUCAGAUGAGGAAGAGGUUUCUACCCAAGAACCUCAACAGCAAUCAGAGCCAAUUGCAGUCAGAAGGCAGAGACGAGAAAUUCAGAAACCUGCUCGUUUCACUGACAUGGUAACUUAUGCACUUCCAGUUGUUGAUAAUAUUCCAUCCACUUACACCAAAGCCAUUCAGAGUUUAGAGAAUAAUAGAUGGUUAGGUGCAAUGGAAGAGGAAAUGCAAUCUCUAGAGAAAAACAAGACGUGGAAGCUGGCACAACUACCAAAAGGGAAGAAGGCGAUUGGUUGCAAAUUUGAAGACACUAUUGAAGUUAGUGUUAUGAGAAGAUGUUCGAAGAUGUGGAAUAUCGCCAAGGUGGAGAUUUGUUGAAUAUUGGCAAUAUCCCACAUUAGGAAAAGAUAGAAAGGGAGGGGGUUUGGUUUGUUAUAUAUAGAACCCCUCCCCCUUUGGUUGUAUCAUCCCAAAAUCUUCUCCUUUGUAAUAUUUCUAGAGGAAAUAUUAAUUUGGUAGUGUCCGAGGACGUAAGCUAAAUUGGCCGAACCUCGUUAAAACUCUGGUAUUUUAUUUCUUAUUUGUUUGCUUUUAUUUAAUAGCUUUAUGUUGGUUAUAUUUAUUUAGUUAUUAUUGCUAUAAAUAUCUAAGUGAGUUCUGUCUAGUUGUUGGGUUUUAAGCGGGACCAUUGUGACCCCUCCAAUUUAACUGGGAAUUUUCUUAGUAUAAUUGUUGGCAUAAUAAUUAUCUAAAUAUUUCUGAUAAUAUUGUUAUUAAUAUUAUCGUCGCUUCCGCAACAUU
RNAcentral lists this long non-coding RNA (3646 nucleotides) under Gossypium barbadense (sea-island cotton). RNAcentral's name for it is "long non-coding RNA (GBAR_LNC015236)". The record is from RNAcentral. Lineage: Eukaryota; Viridiplantae; Streptophyta; Magnoliopsida; Malvales; Malvaceae.